RNAcentral lists this non-coding RNA (264 nucleotides) under Brevibacillus panacihumi. Its description in RNAcentral is "T-box sequence". It matches the Rfam family "T-box leader". From Rfam's summary of the family: Uncharged tRNA acts as the effector for transcription antitermination of genes in the T-box leader family. T-boxes are found upstream of many aminoacyl-tRNA synthetase genes and some amino acid biosynthetic genes usually in Gram-positive bacteria. The anticodon of a specific tRNA base pairs to a specifier sequence within the T-box motif, and the NCCA acceptor tail of the tRNA base pairs to a conserved bulge in the T-box antiterminator hairpin. The record is from RNAcentral. Lineage: Bacteria; Bacillati; Bacillota; Bacilli; Caryophanales; Paenibacillaceae.
UUCAUUGCGAAGAAAAGGAAGAGUAGAAACAGAUACAGCGUGCAGAGAGCCUUCCAGAUGCUGAAAGGAGGGCCGCCAGCCUGUUUUGAAAAUCACCUUGGAGCAGUGCCCUCGAAAACCGGGUGAAGCAUGAUGCCGGAAAAGUAAAGGGCAACGGAUUCGUCCCCGUUACCGGACGGGAGUUCCCCAGUUGAACUUCUCAAGUCUGUUUUUCGUGAGAGAAGCAGAGAAGCUGAGUGGUACCGCGAUGCUCUCGCCUCAGCC